Molecule: ribosomal RNA, 717 nt
Filed under: Isaurus tuberculatus
Lineage: Eukaryota; Metazoa; Cnidaria; Anthozoa; Zoantharia; Zoanthidae
Description: partial 12S ribosomal RNA
Rfam family: Bacterial small subunit ribosomal RNA
Source: RNAcentral
UUUUAUUAGGCUGGCCAAGCCUUUAUAAGCAAAGGGGCGUAAAGGGUGUGUAGGCCGACUGCCCCACCCCCCCCCAAGGUGGUAAAUGGAAUUUUUCUGUAGCGGUAGAAUGUGCGGAUAGAAAAUAGAACCCCAAAAGCUGAAGCAAUUUACCGCGGGGUGGGAGGGGGGGCCCCCUGGGGCGCCCCCCCCGGGCUACGGGCUGAAACACGAGGGUGUGGGGAACAAACAGGAUUAGAGACCCUGGUCGUCCACACUGUAAACGAUGGAGAAAAUGCGAAUGCCGUCCCGAAAGGCAGCAAUCCUCCCGCCUGAGUAGUUCGAUUGCAAGAUUAAAACUCCAAAAAUUUGGCUGUUCACCGUUUCUAUUAGAGGAUCGUGUAGUUUAAUUCGAUAAACCGCGAGAUACCUUACCCAAACUUGAGUCCUUGAGGAUUCUCAGGAAUCCUUAUGGACCGGUAUUGCGUGGCCGUCGUCCUGUUCGUGUCCUGAAACUUUAAAGGGACCCCCCCCGAGGAUUAGCCGGGGAUGAAGUCGGGUCUUAUGGUCCCCAUGUUUGGGGAUAAUAUGCGCUUACGUUGUUCUUAUUUUCAAUGGGAAACCUGGGAGGUGAAACCCAAAAGUGAGAUUUCGGCCUAGGCUAUUGGAAGAUGGCCGAAAGUUGAAUUUAAUAUUAAUCGGAAAGUAUAUCGUUCGCGGCGUGAAAUGGUCUAGGUG